AAUGAACGCUGGCGGCGUGCAUAACACAUGCAAGUCGAACGAGAAACCCCGGGCUUGCUCGGGGGAGUAAAGUGGCGCACGGGUGAGUAACGCGUGGGUAACCUACCUCUGAAUCUGGAAUAACUUCGCGAAAGCGUUGCUAAUACCGGAUAUUGUCCUUGGAACUGCGGUUCUUGGGAUGAAAGGUGACCUCUUCUUGAAAGUUGCCGUUCGGGGACGGGCCCGCGUACCAUUAGCUAGUUGGUAGGGUAAUGGCCUACCAAGGCUACGAUGGUUAGCUGGUCUGAGAGGAUGAUCAGCCACACUGGAACUGAAACACGGUCCAGACACCUACGGGAGGCAG
This 343-nucleotide ribosomal RNA is filed under the name uncultured Pseudomonadota bacterium. RNAcentral describes it as "bacterial SSU rRNA". It matches the Rfam family "Bacterial small subunit ribosomal RNA", at positions 29 to 351 of the family's 1533-position model. The record is from RNAcentral. Lineage: Bacteria; Pseudomonadati; Pseudomonadota.